This 83-nucleotide small nuclear RNA is filed under the name Pan troglodytes (chimpanzee). Lineage: Eukaryota; Metazoa; Chordata; Mammalia; Primates; Hominidae. The record is from RNAcentral.
GUGCUCGCUUCAGCAGCACAUAAACUAAAAUUGGAAUGAUACAGAGAUUAGCACAGCCCCUGCGCAAGCAGUUGCAUAUUUUU